UGACAGUCAAAACCAGAAAACAACCCCAGGGCUCAUCAAAGGAGACUGGAUAAAUUAAUAGAAGGCAGAGAUAAAAUGUAUUGUGACAGUUAAUUGUGAUGUCAACUUAAAUGGAUUAAGAAACACCUAGCAGAUUAGUGGAGCACAGUUCUGGGUAUGCCUAAGGAUGAUUGACAUGUAAGCCAAAAAACUGAAGAGGGAAGACCCACCCCGGAUGUGGUGGCACCAACUAAAAGGCUUGUAUUCUGGAUGGCAUAAAAACAGAAAGAAGAAAGAAGUCUCCCCUUUGCUUCUUGGAAGGAGCUUCAGUCUUUACCAUCGCCUUUGAACAUUGGUCUUCAGUUCCUUCAGGCUUCCAGCACAGAUUUCAGUCUUCCAACACAGCUUUCUGACACAGAUUUGCACUGGAUUUUGCAGUGAGCUCCAGAUCUUUGAACUUCAACUGGAUCCUCCAACUCUCCAGCAUGCAGACGGCCAUUUUGCAUUCUUUCAUCCCUGAUUCCACAGCAUGAAAGGAAGAAUGUGCAUACGAAGGAUGGAACAAAAACUGUCUCUAAAGAGGACCAGGGGAAACUAUCAGGCAACUUUUGAAGACAAAUAUGCAAUGCUGGAGCUUUGGCCCACUAUUGUCCUGCCUCUUAUGACUGUCACUCCCCUUCAACAGCACUGCUACCCAACCACUGGACACACAGUAAAUUGUUUAAUCCUCACAACAACCCAUAUUUUAGCAUAAGUAUCCCCAGGUAGACAGCUUGACAACUCCCAUUACUCGAGCAGUGGGGCUAGAAUUGGUCCAUGCCCUCUACUCCUCCACUGUACCAGCACCCCAUGGCACAAGUCGAGAUCCCCUCUCCAGAUUACCAAGGGUAGCUUCCACAACACUGAGUUCAUUUCUGGAGAAAUAUUCAUAGAGAAUUCAAGCUCAAUACACAGAAACCAUGUACAAAGAAGGUGAAAAGUACACUCCAGAUCAAAAAUACUACAGUCUACUUGAUUCCUCCCCCUCAGGGACACCACA
This is a long non-coding RNA of Heterocephalus glaber (naked mole-rat), 1018 nucleotides long. Lineage: Eukaryota; Metazoa; Chordata; Mammalia; Rodentia; Bathyergidae. The record is from Ensembl.